RNAcentral lists this ribosomal RNA (253 nucleotides) under Micropepsis sp. Its description in RNAcentral is "partial 16S ribosomal RNA". It matches the Rfam family "Bacterial small subunit ribosomal RNA", at positions 524 to 776 of the family's 1533-position model. Lineage: Bacteria; Pseudomonadati; Pseudomonadota; Alphaproteobacteria; Micropepsales; Micropepsaceae. The record is from RNAcentral. RNAcentral also lists the same sequence under 1 other name.
UACGAAGGGGGCUAGCGUUGUUCGGAAUUACUGGGCGUAAAGCGCGCGCAGGCGGCCUUUCAAGUCGGUGGUGAAAUCCCAAAGCUCAACUUUGGAAUUGCCAUCGAAACUGUAAGGCUUGGGUACGGGAGAGGUGAGUGGAAUUCCGAGUGUAGAGGUGAAAUUCGUAGAUAUUCGGAAGAACACCAGUGGCGAAGGCGGCUCACUGGCCCGUUACCGACGCUCAGGCGCGACAGCGUGGGGAGCAAACAGG